GACGAAGGGGGCGUAGCGUUGUUCGGUAAUUACUGGGCGGUAAAGACGCGUGUAGGCGGUUUUCCUAAGUUGGGUGUGAAAGCCUUGGGCUUAACCCAAGAAAUGCACUCAGUACUGGAAGACUAGAGGACCGGAGAGGAUAGUGGAAUUCCCCAGUGUAGUGGUGAAAUACGUAGAGAUUGGGAAGAACACCAGUGGCGAAGGCGGCUAUCUGGACGGUUUCUGACGC
RNAcentral lists this ribosomal RNA (229 nucleotides) under uncultured bacterium. RNAcentral's name for it is "partial 16S ribosomal RNA". It matches the Rfam family "Bacterial small subunit ribosomal RNA", at positions 524 to 746 of the family's 1533-position model. The record is from RNAcentral.